RNAcentral lists this ribosomal RNA (482 nucleotides) under uncultured bacterium. RNAcentral's name for it is "partial 16S ribosomal RNA". It matches the Rfam family "Bacterial small subunit ribosomal RNA", at positions 30 to 507 of the family's 1533-position model. The record is from RNAcentral.
AUUGAACGCUGGCGGCAUGCUUUACACAUGCAAGUCGAACGGUAACAGCACUUCGGUGGCUGACGAGUGGCGAACGGGUGAGUAAUACAGCGGAACGUGCCUAGUAGUGGGGGAUAACUACUCGAAAGAGUAGCUAAUACCGCAUGAGAUCUAAGGAUGAAAGCAGGGGACCUUCGGGCCUUGCGCUACUAGAGCGGCUGAUGGCAGAUUAGGUAGUUGGUGGGAUAAAAGCUUACCAAGCCGACGAUCUGUAGCUGGUCUGAGAGGACGACCAGCCACACUGGGACUGAGACACGGCCCAGACUCCUACGGGAGGCAGCAGUGGGGAAUUUUGGACAAUGGGCGCAAGCCUGAUCCAGCAAUGCCGCGUGCAGGAUGAAGGCCUUCGGGUUGUAAACUGCUUUUGUACGGAACGAAAAGCCCUCUUCUAAUACAGGAGGGUCAUGACGGUACCGUAAGAAUAAGCACCGGCUAACUACGUG